Molecule: ribosomal RNA, 292 nt
Filed under: uncultured bacterium
Lineage: Bacteria
Description: partial 16S ribosomal RNA
Source: RNAcentral
GGACUACAAGGGUUUCUAAUCCUGUUUGCUCCCCACGCUUUCGAGCCUCAGCGUCAGUUACAGUCCAGAGAAUCGCCUUCGCCACUGGUGUUCUUCCUAAUCUCUACGCAUUUCACCGCUACACUAGGAAUUCCAUUCUCCUCUCCUGCACUCUAGACUUCCAGUUUGAAAUGCAGCACCCAAGUUGAGCCCGGGUAUUUCACAUCUCACUUAAAAGUCCGCCUACGCUCCCUUUACGCCCAGUAAAUCCGGACAACGCUCGCCACCUACGUAUUACCGCGGCUGCUGGCAC